This 659-nucleotide ribosomal RNA is filed under the name Vermamoeba vermiformis. RNAcentral describes it as "SSU rRNA". It matches the Rfam family "Eukaryotic small subunit ribosomal RNA", at positions 591 to 1251 of the family's 1831-position model. Lineage: Eukaryota; Tubulinea; Echinamoebida; Vermamoebidae. The record is from RNAcentral.
CCAAUAGCGUAUAUUAAAGUUGUUGCAGUUAAAAAGCUCGUAGUUGGAUUUCGGAAGGUCCUUAGCAGUCCGCCCCUUCGGGGAGCGGGCUGCUGGCCUCCUAUGUUCCUAACGGUCCUCAUCCGCGAGGGUGGGGAAUCAACCGCUAGGAUCGUUUACUUUGAGGAAAUUAGAGUGUUCAAAGCAGGCGUAACUCGCCUCCGAAUACGUUAGCAUGGGAUAAUGGAAUACGACUUCGGUCUUGUUUCGUUGGUUUCGCUUGGCUGAAGUAAUGAUUGAUAGGGACAGUUGGGGGCAUUAGUAUUUAGUUGUCAGAGGUGAAAUUCUAGGAUUUACUAAAGACUGACCAAUGCGAAAGCAUUUGCCAAGGAUGUUUUCAUUAAUCAAGAACGAAAGUAGGGGGAUCGAAGACGAUCAGAUACCGUCGUAGUCUCUACCGUAAACUAUGCCGACCAGGGAUCCGGAGAGUUUGCAUGGAUGACUCCCCGGGCACCUUGUGAGAAAUCAUAAGUGUUUGGGUUUUGGGGGGAGUAUGGUCGCAAGGCUGAAACUUAAAGGAAUUGACGGAAGGGCACCACCAGGAGUGGAACCUGCGGCUUAAUUUGACUCAACACGGGGAAACUUACGAGGUCAGGACACUGUGAGGAUUGACAGAUUGA